GACGAUCUCAGGUCUAAGGGACACUUAUAUUUAUAUCCCAUCAGAGAUAUUUUCGACAGUAGAAUGCUCUGGAAUUGGUCAUGUUCAAUGAUGAUGUAUCCUUACAUCUCACCUGUAUGUCAUACCAGUGUCUCCAUACUCUUUGGUUAAGAGGACAACCAACUCAUAUGGCCUACAGCGACCUAUGCUCGAUAGAAGCUGUCAUCCUUAUUAACAGCCUAUCAUU
Molecule: long non-coding RNA, 226 nt
Filed under: Elaeis guineensis (African oil palm)
Lineage: Eukaryota; Viridiplantae; Streptophyta; Magnoliopsida; Arecales; Arecaceae
Description: long non-coding RNA (EGUI_LNC039925)
Source: RNAcentral